This 510-nucleotide ribosomal RNA is filed under the name uncultured bacterium. Its description in RNAcentral is "partial 16S ribosomal RNA". It matches the Rfam family "Bacterial small subunit ribosomal RNA", at positions 28 to 507 of the family's 1533-position model. The record is from RNAcentral.
GACGAACGCUGGCGGCGUGCUUAACACAUGCAAGUCGAACGAAGAGCGAUGGAAGCUUGCUUCUAUCAAUCUUAGUGGCGAACGGGUGAGUAACGCGUAAUCAACCUGCCCUUCAGAGGGGGACAACAGUUGGAAACGACUGCUAAUACCGCAUACGAUCCAAUCUCGGCAUCGGGACUGGAUGAAAGGUGGCCUCUAUUUAUAAGCUAUCACUGAAGGAGGGGAUUGCGUCUGAUUAGCUAGUUGGAGGGGUAACGGCCCACCAAGGCGAUGAUCAGUAGCCGGUCUGAGAGGAUGAACGGCCACAUUGGGACUGGGACACGGCCCAGACUCCUACGGGAGGCAGCAGGGGGGAAUCUUCCGCAAUGGACGAAAGUCUGACGGAGCAAUGCCGCGGGAGGGAUGACGGCCGUCGGGUUGUAAAGCUCUGUUAAUCGGGACGAAUGGUUCUUGUGCGAAUAGUGCGAGGAUUUGACGGUACCGGAAUAGAAAGCCACGGCUAACUACGUG